AUGGCUCAGAACGAACGCUGGCGGCGCGUCUUAAGCAUGCAAGUCGAACGGCAAGAGGUAGCAAUACCUCCUAGAGUGGCGGACUGGUGAGUAACACGUGGGUGACAUACCCUUCAGAUGGGGAUAGCUAUUAGAAAUAGUAGAUAAUACCGAAUACGAGCACAGGGGUUAGAGAUCUGUGAGGAAAGGAGCUAAGGCUCCGCUGAAGGAAUGGCCUGCGGCCCAUUAGCUAGUUGGUGAGGUAAGAGCCCACCAAGGCGAUGAUGGGUAUCCGGCCUUAGAGGGUGAACGGACACAUUGGGACUGAGAUACGGCCCAGACUCCUACGGGAGGCAGCAGCUAAGAAUAUUCCGCAAUGGACGAAAGUCUGACGGAGCGACGCCGCGUGGAUGAAGAAGGCCGGAAGGUUGUAAAAUCCUUUUGAAACUGAAGAAUAAGCGUUGUAGGGAAUGACAGCGUGGUGACAGUAGGUUUUGAAUAAGCAACGGCUAAUUACGUGCCAGCCGCUGC
RNAcentral lists this ribosomal RNA (510 nucleotides) under uncultured bacterium. RNAcentral describes it as "bacterial SSU rRNA". It matches the Rfam family "Bacterial small subunit ribosomal RNA", at positions 19 to 518 of the family's 1533-position model. The record is from RNAcentral.